This 505-nucleotide ribosomal RNA is filed under the name uncultured bacterium. Its description in RNAcentral is "partial 16S ribosomal RNA". It matches the Rfam family "Bacterial small subunit ribosomal RNA", at positions 28 to 507 of the family's 1533-position model. The record is from RNAcentral.
GACGAACGCUGGCGGCGUGCCUAAUACAUGCAAGUAGAACGCGCAGUUUAUACCGUAGCUUGCUACACCAUAGACUGUGAGUUGCGAACGGGUGAGUAACGCGUAGGUAACCUGCCUGGUAGCGGGGGAUAACUAUUGGAAACGAUAGCUAAUACCGCAUAAUAUUAAUUAUUGCAUGAUAAUUGAUUGAAAGAUGCAACUGCAUCACUACCAGAUGGACCUGCGUUGUAUUAGCUAGUAGGUGAGGUAACGGCUCACCUAGGCGACGAUACAUAGCCGACCUGAGAGGGUGAUCGGCCACACUGGGACUGAGACACGGCCCAGACUCCUACGGGAGGCAGCAGUAGGGAAUCUUCGGCAAUGGACGAAAGUCUGACCGAGCAACGCCGCGUGAGUGAAGAAGGUUUUCGGAUCGUAAAGCUCUGUUGUAAGAGAAGAACGGGUGUGAGAGUGGAAAGUUCACACUGUGACGGUAUCUUACCAGAAAGGGACGGCUAACUACGUG